UCACUGGGGUUAAUUUCGUCUCCUGCUUUCUUUAUGUAGCGUGGGAUCUCCUAAGCCCACAAGGCAAUAAGGUUUUUCUCCUUUUGCUUUAUUUUCUUUUAUUCUCUCCAUACUUCUUUACUCAUGUGUCUUGCAGUAUUGGGCUUUAGUCCAAUUUUCGUCCCAUGCUUUGGCUAAAAUUUAUAUUAAUUAGUUUAGCUCAUUAAUAUAUCAAAACUCGGAAAUUAUAACGUACCUAUCACACAUAUGAUAUAUUACUACUAGUAGAUAACAUAGUAUAUGUCAAACUAAUAAAUAAUCCAACAAACAUAUUUUCUAAAUAACAUAUGAAAACAAUUAAAACCAUAACUUAUAAUUUAUAAUACUAAUAGAGAGCUAGUAAGAUGGAAUUAAAAGGUUAUAAUAUAUAAUAAUUCACACUUAUCAGUAAGCGAGGGAAAAGAGAGUUGCUCAUUUGUGUGUAAAAAAAGGGUCCGGCUUUAUUGGUUGAACAGAGACCUUGACUAAAUGGCUCUAGUUACCCCAAAAAUUGCAAUCCUUGAUUGUUAAAUUCAUUCAGUUUUUGGGCUAAAUGGAGCCAAUAGUUGACUUUAUUUUUGUAUAUGAAAGCGAAUAAUGCUUCGUUUUUCAAACAAUCGAAGCCUAUUUGAAAUAGCACUUGCCCUUUUUUUUCUCUAGUGAAAGAUUAUUUUGUUUCUCUAGUGAAAGAUUAUUUUGUAAGGAAUCCUAAACUCACCAAGAGUAUUGGGGGACAAGCUUAAAGAAUGUGUUGUUGUAAUUUUUAUUGAUUAGUUUUCGACUAAAGGAAUACCAAAGCAUGUCUUAACACUGUUUUAUGGGUUAGCACUCAACUUUGCUGAUGUAUAUGUUUUGUUUUCUCAUUGUUGUGGCAUGUGCCUUGUUGUGUUGUAAUGUACUUAUUAGAGUAACAGUAUAGGUACAGGAUAAAAUGGUCUUUUACUAGUCAUAUAUUUGUAUUGUAAACACUAUAUAUAUUGAAUGACAGGGUUAACCUAAUCAGGUUAACACAAUUAUUCUCCACACUUGUAUAUGGUAUCACAGUCUAGGGCUUUCUAAGAUUAUUUUUCCGUAAUUUUUUUUUUCCUUCGAUUGAUUUUUCAACACGCUUCUGUCACACAAGCUGCCCUCGUGCAGCCACAGCCGGCACCGACCACCGGCGCCUCUUCGUCUGCGCCGGCGCGUGCCCACUCCUUCUCGCAGCCUUCUCACAGCCUUUUGCUGCUUCCACUAGGGGAAAAAACGGAAGAGCUGCGUUUUUCUUAAAACGCAGCCCUUAAUAGUGAAGGGUUGCGGUUAGCCCAAAAUCCGGAGCCCUUCGUAAACGAAGGGCUGUGGUUUUUUUAAAAACGCAACCCUUUUAGUGAAGGGUUGCGGUUAGCCCAAAAACCGCAGCCCUUCAUCUUCGAAGGGCUGCGGUUUUUGGGCUAACGGCAACCCUUUACCCACCCGCGAAAAUAUUAUUUCAAUGGGCAUUUAAAUAUUUUGGAAGAAAUUCAAUGGGCGGGCUUUUAAAAUAUUCAGCACUCUUUAUUAAACCCUCAUUCUCUCUCUCCUCUCUCACACAUCUCACAAAUCUCUUCUCUCAUGCAAAUAUAUUCAAACCUCCACCACCACAAAUCUUCACACCAUCACCACAAAUCCUCCUUCGUCUCUCGUCUCUGGGAUUUCCUCGCGUCUCCUCCUACCGUCGCUCACACCACCACUCCCCCUCUUCUCUUGCCUCCUCUGCCGUCGCUCACACCACUUCGUCGGCAUUCACACAAAUCGCUCCUCGUCCCACACCACCUCGCCAGCAUUGUUUUUGUAUUUGUUGGUUUUUGAUGGUAUUUUUCGUAUUUUUUUGUCAAUUUUAGGUUUUUUAGUUUUAUGGAAUUAAUUUGAGAUGGUUCGAGAUUAAUUUGAGAUCCAGGGUUAGAGAUUUACUCGGUUUUUUAUCAAAUUUGUUUUUCGAAUUUUAGGCUUUUUUUAUUUUAUUUUGUGGAAUUAAUUUGAUUUUAUGUUGUUGAUUCGUUUGAGAGAGAUUUUGUGUAUUAACAAAAUUCUUAUGUAGACCGGAUCCACCAUGGGAAUGGUAGUAUCAAAGUUUUUUAAGCAGUGUGCGAAAACUCUAAACUACAUCUGUGUUGAGAAUAUACCAUGUUUAUUAGUAUUGGGGGUUAAUUAGUUUUAGCAAUUUAGUUUGACAAAGUCACAUUUAUUGUUGUUCUGGCAUUGUUUUUUUUUUUUUUUUUUUAUGUUUUUGUGUUAAGUUCUCUUAGCAUUGUAAUAGGCGGGUCCAACAAUAACAUGGGACUUGGUUGUGGGAGGUUGCGACUUGGAGUACAGCGCUGAGUUCAUCCCAAAUGCCCAGGAUAGCUACAACCUCGCCGUGAGGAAACCGAGAAAACUCAGCCCCUCUGACGAAGCCAUCCACAACUCGUUCUUGGCAAGAGAGGCGGGGAAAGUCGUGCUGUCAGUUGACAACACCACAUAACUGAGGAGAAAGGUUGUUGGUUAUCGCUAUAUUGUCCGCAAAUCUUCACUAGUCUAGUUUGAUCCCUUAUGUAAAAUAACCAAAGCAUCCUAGGUCUUUUAGGUUUCGGCUCUUUUUUGUUUGUUUGAGGUUAUUAAACUUAUAGCUCUUCUUGCUUAUAUAUUUUAACUAAUGUUUUGUAUGCCUAAGCCUAUGAUUUUUUUUUGUUUUUCUGGGUCAAAAGGGUUGCGGUUAUGGUCAAAAUUGCAGCCCUUUGUACAAAGAAGGGUUGUGGUUUAGGCCCAAAACUGCAGCCCUUCCAUAUUGGAAUAGUUGCGAUUUUGGGCCUAAACUGCAGUCCUUCGUUGUGAAGGGCUGCUACGGAAAGGCUGCUGGCCAAAAACACAACCGUUAGGGCUGUUUUGACCGCAACCCUUCCGCAGUCGUUCUUCACACAGCCCCACUCGGCUGUUUCUCGAACCAAGUUCUUGGUUUUCCUUUUUCGGUUCUUAAUGGGAUGUAAUCUCCCUUGUCGUCGAGCACACCACCGCGAUUUUCGCCAGGCUUUCUGACGCCCUCUGUCGCGCCAACAACCACGGCUAUGCCGCCAUUGCACAAAUCCACGUCGGCGUAUCUCUUUGCUCUACCGCAUAUUUCUUCCCUAAUCUCAGUAUUCUGGAAACGAUCACUCUCUCUUCGCCUGAGGAUUAUUUAUUGUGAAAAACUCAGAUUACUUGUUUGCUUCUUUCACAUCAACUGCUUGGUAUGGUUGAAGUUCCUCCUGCUGCUAUUAUUGAUGAUCGUGGUGUUUCAAUUCCUAAUGCUCCUUUUUAUGAAUAUAUGCGUGUUGAUCAACAAAUUAAAUGUAUUGGAUUUUUGCCACGUUGUCUCAUGAUGUUUUUGUUGAUGUGCAUGAUUUAUCUACCUGAGUGGAAAUUUGGAAUCGUUUAUAGACUAGUUUUAUGCAUGCUAGUAUGGCUCGUUCUAUGGAAUUGAAAGGUCGUCCUACUCGUAUCAAAAAAAGUGAAUCUCAGUCUAUGGAUGGAUAUUUGCGUGGGAUUAAUAAGGUUAUUGCAGAUUCCUUGGCUGCUAUUCAAUGUCUUUUCUCUAAUCAGGAUUUAGUUCAGCAUAAAUUAUUUGGUUUGGAUCGUGAUUCUGAGUAUGAUCAUAUUGUUACCACUCUGUUGCAUUACCCUUUCCCUCUUAGUUUUGAUGAUUUGCGCCCUAAGUUGCUUCUUCAUGAACAACGUCUCAAAAGUUCGAAGGAUGCAGUUGAUUCAUCCUCUCAUCUUGCCUUAAUUAACGUUGUCGUUCAGUCUUCUGGUUCUGGUUCCUCCUCCUCUACUCCUCGCAGCCUUGCUGCUCCUUUGCUACCCACCCAGCCCAAGCCCCAUGGCUUGCCUCCCAGCCCUUCUUCCGCUACUGCCUGGCCCGCUCCCCAUCCACCGAGCUACGUCGCAUGACUUCUCUCGCGAGGAGUCUGCCUCGCCAGCUGGGUCUCCAAUGCCCGCUCGCUUACAGCUGCUAGGCGCGCAUCUCCUUCCCCGCCCGCUGGCUCGCAUAGCCUCACUCCAGCGACUCCUGGCGGGCACGCUGGCCCACCAGCGUCCGCUAGCCCCGCCUCGGCCCCCGAAUCCCGCCCCACUAAGCGCAACGUUGAGCAUUUCAUUCCCACGUUUGACCCUCCCUCACCCUCUCGUCUUGUGUUCCACGACCAGCCCUUAUCUAUCUCUUCUUCUGUUGUUGUCAACCGUCAUCCCAUGGUCACCCAUUUAAAGGAUGGUGUCUCCAGGACUAAAGUCUUAAUGAACUUAAACACUUAAAGUGUAGAGUCUGAACCUACUAAUUUUAAACAAGCUUCUAAAGACUUACGUUGGCGUCAAGCUAUGCUAGAUGAAUAUAAGGCUUUAAUUAAUAAUGACACAUGGGAGUUGGUACCCCGCAACUAUGAUAAGAAUUUACUUUGUUGUAAGUGGGUUUAACGGAUUAAUUACAAUUCUGAUAGUUCUGUGGAGCAGUUCAAAGCCAGGCUUGUCGUUUUUGGAAAUCACCAGCAUGCAGAAUUUUCAGAUAUCUGCAGGGCACAUUGGAUUUCGGCCUCUUCUUAUAUAGCAGCAGUUCUCCUACUGUUGUUAUUGUCUACCUGAUGCAGAUUGGGCAGGAUGCCCUGACACGCGACGUUCUACUACUGGCUAUGUUGUUUUCUGGGGAAGAAUCUUAUUUCCUGGCGUUCGAAAAAGCAACCUACUCUCUCUAAAUCCUCCACUGAAGCUGAAUACAGGGUUGUUGCUUACACAGUUGCAAAAACCAUUUGGCUCAAACAACUUCUUGCUGAUAUUGGCCAUGUUCUUCGUCGUCCUGUGAUUGUUUAUUGUGAUAAUGUCUCUACACUUAUCUCACUGCUAAUCCAGUUCAUCAUGAUCGUAACAAACAUAUUGAUGUCGAUUAUCAUUUUGUUCGGAAAAUGGUUGCCGAGGGAGGUCUUAUUGUUCGACAUGUUCCUAAAUAGUCUCAGGUUGCUGAUAUUUCACUAAGGCCCUAUCUACUGACUUGUUUACUAAACAUUGUACCAAUCUAUCUAUUGUUUCACCCCGUAAAGAUUGAGGUGGUGUAUUAGAGUAACAUUAUUUGUAAAAGGAUAGAAUGGUUUUUUACUAGUAAUAGGUCUGCAUUGUAAACACUAUAUAUAUUGAAUGAUAGGGUUAACCAAUCAGGUUAACACAAUUAUUCUC
Molecule: long non-coding RNA, 5205 nt
Organism: Beta vulgaris subsp. vulgaris (sugar beet)
Lineage: Eukaryota; Viridiplantae; Streptophyta; Magnoliopsida; Caryophyllales; Amaranthaceae
Exons: 2
Source: RefSeq, a predicted model, not a curated record